CUCCUCUCUCACUUCCCAGGUAAGGACAGGCCUCCCACGUCCAGGGCAGGUCCCCCAGGCUUCAGCAGUCCCCUCUGGCUCAGAUCUUCCAGCAACUUCAUGCUGGUAAGUGAGCCAGCAGCCAUAUCCACCUGUGUCUGCAGGUUCCCUCUCCCAGCCUGUGCUGACUCAGCCGCCCUCCCUCUCUGCAUCUCUGGAAGCACCAGCCGCACUUCCCUGCAUCCUGAGCACUGGCGUCCAUGCUGAUUUCUAUUGGAUAUACUGGUACCAGCAUAAGCCAGGGAGCCCUCCCUGGUAUCUCCUGAGCCACUACCAAAAUGUACUUCAUGACCAGGGCUCCAGGGUCCCGAGCUGCUCCUCUGGAUUGAUGGAAGGCUGGUCCAAUAAAGGGCUUUUGCUCAUAUCUAAGCUCCAGUCUGAGGACGAGGCUGACUAAUUACUGUGUGAUUGAGCACAGCAGUCCUUCGCACACUGACACACAGGUGGGGAGGCGGGAUAAAACCUCAGCCUGCUCAGAGUCUUGUUCUCUGACAAUGUUUAGAUAUUAAAAUAACUCACAUAUACAAACUUCACAGGAAAGCACUUUCUGGCUCAAAAAAUACUCUCUUCUCAAUUCUCCAUAGAAUGUUUCUGAAGUCUCAGGAAUGCUGAAAACAAAAACAAAAACCUCCUGAUACACUGCGGUGUUGCCCGGUUAUCUAGAUGAGCAAAACUCAGAGCCUGUGGAGUUGACUUUUUUAUUAUUAUUAUUUUUUGGAAGAAGAGAAAUGAGCCUUUCCUAGUUUUCUUUUCGGCCAGAGGCCGGAGACCAUUCAAGCAGGUAGACAGUCGCUACAGCAUGGACUACUGUCUUUGAGGGAUCAGAGCAGAAACCUCCUUGUCCCUCUCCAGUCACCUCCCUCCAACCCCGAUCAUCUGUGCUUGGGGCUGCCUGAGGCUCCCCGUGACCCAGGGAUGAGGCACUAAGGUGUGAAAUGAGUGAGGACACAGGUCCCAGGGGAGUUCCAGCGAAGAUGUGGCCAGAGUCACUCACAGGCGAAGACACAACCUGAAGUCUGCAGUCUGCCACACAGAAGACAGUCCUCACCAGGGCCCAACCAGGCUGGCACCCUGAUAUCCGACUUCCAGCCUCCAGAACUGGGAGAAAUACAAUUCUGUCUGCCCUGGGGAUGAGCUCCCCAGGCUAUGGCUCUUUGCUCUAACAGCCUGA
RNAcentral lists this long non-coding RNA (1210 nucleotides) under Homo sapiens (human). RNAcentral describes it as "non-protein coding lnc-RFPL3-1:5". The record is from RNAcentral. Lineage: Eukaryota; Metazoa; Chordata; Mammalia; Primates; Hominidae.